This 523-nucleotide ribosomal RNA is filed under the name uncultured bacterium. RNAcentral's name for it is "bacterial SSU rRNA". It matches the Rfam family "Bacterial small subunit ribosomal RNA", at positions 24 to 518 of the family's 1533-position model. The record is from RNAcentral.
UCAGGACGAACGCUGGCGGCGUGCCUAAUACAUGCAAGUCGAACGGUCUUUCUAUGGAAGCUUGCUUCCACUGAGAAGAUAGUGGCGAACGGGUGAGUAACACGUGGGUAACCUGCCCAUAAGAGGGGGGAUAACAUCCGGAAACGGGUGCUAAUACCGCAUAGUUUUCUUGAUCGCAUGAUUGGGAAAGGAAAGACGGCCUUUGUGCUGUCGCUUAUGGAUGGACCCGCGGCGUAUUAGUUAGUUGGUGAGGUAACGGCUCACCAAGACGAUGAUACGUAGCCGACCUGAGAGGGUGAUCGGCCACAUUGGGACUGAGACACGGCCCAAACUCCUACGGGAGGCAGCAGUAGGGAAUCUUCCGCAAUGGACGAAAGUCUGACGGAGCAACGCCGCGUGAGUGAAGAAAAGGUUUUCGGAUCGUAAAACUCUGUUGUCAGAGAAGAACAAGUUGGAGAGUAACUGCUCCAGCCUUGACGGUAUCUGACCAGAAAGCCACGGCUAACUACGUGCCAGCAGCCGC